Molecule: ribosomal RNA, 253 nt
Filed under: uncultured bacterium
Lineage: Bacteria
Description: partial 16S ribosomal RNA
Rfam family: Bacterial small subunit ribosomal RNA
Source: RNAcentral
UACGGGGGGGGCAAGCGUUGUUCGGAAUUACUGGGCGUAAAGGGCUCGUAGGCGGCCAACUAAGUCAGACGUGAAAUCCCUCGGCUUAACCGGGGAACUGCGUCUGAUACUGGAUGGCUUGAGUUUGGGAGAGGGAUGCGGAAUUCCAGGUGUAGCGGUGAAAUGCGUAGAGAUGUGGAGGAACACCAGUGGCGAAGGCGGCUUUCUGGUCUGUAACUGACGCUGAGGCGCGAAAGCGUGGGGAGCAAACAGG